This is a non-coding RNA of Sorex araneus (European shrew), 130 nucleotides long. RefSeq annotates it as small Cajal body-specific RNA 24. The transcript has a single exon. Lineage: Eukaryota; Metazoa; Chordata; Mammalia; Eulipotyphla; Soricidae. The record is from RefSeq and is a predicted model, not a curated record.
UGGACAUUUAGUUUAAAGAAGUUUCUUCUUACACAAAGAUAACUCUUUGUAUAUGUCCUUGAGAAAUAAUAGUAGUUUUCUGUGUACCCUUUGCAAGGAAAAAGGACACAUCAUUCCACUACUGACAUUU